AUUGAACGCUGGCGGCAUGCUUUACACAUGCAAGUCGAACGGCAGCGCGGGCUUCGGCCUGGCGGCGAGUGGCGAACGGGUGAGUAAUACAUCGGAACGUGCCCAGGAGUGGGGGAUAGCUCGGCGAAAGCCGGAUUAAUACCGCAUACGACCUGAGGGUGAAAGCGGGGGAUCUUCGGACCUCGCGCUAUUGGAGCGGCCGAUGCCGGAUUAGCUAGUUGGUGGGGUAAAGGCCUACCAAGGCGACGAUCUGUAGCUGGUCUGAGAGGACGACCAGCCACACUGGGACUGAGACACGGCCCAGACUCCUACGGGAGGCAGCAGUGGGGAAUUUUGGACAAUGGGCGAAAGCCUGAUCCAGCAAUGCCGCGUGUGUGAUGAAGGCCUUCGGGUUGUAAAGCACUUUUGGCGGGAACGAAAAGGACUGUGCCAAUACCACGGUUCGAUGACGGUACCCGAAGAAUAAGCACCGGCUAACUACGUG
This 484-nucleotide ribosomal RNA is filed under the name uncultured bacterium. RNAcentral's name for it is "partial 16S ribosomal RNA". It matches the Rfam family "Bacterial small subunit ribosomal RNA", at positions 29 to 507 of the family's 1533-position model. The record is from RNAcentral.